Molecule: ribosomal RNA, 334 nt
Filed under: uncultured cyanobacterium
Lineage: Bacteria; Bacillati; Cyanobacteriota
Description: bacterial SSU rRNA
Rfam family: Bacterial small subunit ribosomal RNA
Source: RNAcentral
CGAAAGCCUGAUGGAGCAAUACCGCGUGAGGGAUGAAGCAUCGUGGUGUGUAAACCUCUUUUCUUAAGGAAGAAUCAAUGACGGUACUUAAGGAAUAAGCACCGGCUAACUCUGUGCCAGCAGCCGCGGUAAUACAGAGGGUGCAAGCGUUGUCCGGAAUGAUUGGGCGUAAAGCAUCUGUAGGUGGUUUCUAAAGUCAACUGUUAAAUCCCAGAGCUCAACUUUGGCCAAGCAGUUGAGUACUUAGAGACUUGAGUACGGUAGGGGUAGAGGGAAUUCCUUGUUUAGCGGUGAAAUGCAUAGAGAUAAGGAAGAACACCAGUGGCGAAAGCGC